Caenorhabditis elegans is the source of this 68-nucleotide microRNA precursor. The record is from Ensembl. NCBI's taxonomy places the organism in Eukaryota, Metazoa, Nematoda, Chromadorea, Rhabditida, Rhabditidae.
UGGUGAGACACGUCGUAACGAAUCCGCUGAAAUUUACAUUGAUGAUUUGUUCGCGUUGCUCAACCACA